ACCCUGCGUUCCUUCCCAUCGGCUCUGAACUCCGACCUUGGUGGUCGUAAGGAGGAAAAGCAAUGGGGAAGCUGGCCUCGCAGAGCACGGUCUGUGGGCUGGACUCGCUCUGCA
RNAcentral lists this small nucleolar RNA (114 nucleotides) under Myotis lucifugus (little brown bat). RNAcentral's name for it is "Small nucleolar RNA SNORA61 (ENSMLUG00000021537.2)". The record is from RNAcentral. Lineage: Eukaryota; Metazoa; Chordata; Mammalia; Chiroptera; Vespertilionidae.